AAGAGCCGCUCCUCAUGGAAAAGAAUACACCCACGCAGGAUUCAGAACUCCGCUGCUGCUUUCCCCUUAAUAUUCAUGCAGAAUAUAUGGACACAUACUUAUUUUACACUCGCUGUGGCACCCACUUUGCUUGAAAAACAAGAAGGAUUUUGUAAGCAAUUUAAGAUACGAGAAGCCACAUUGGUUGCCAUUUAACCAACAAUUGUGAUCCUUAUUCAGGGAAUCCUCUGCUCUUCGUACUGGUUGGGCAACAAUUAUAGAAAAACUAAACACACAUGUACACAAUUAAUGAUGCUCCAUCAACAACGAAUAACUGAUGCCAAUGCAAUUAGACAAUAUCCAAAAAACAUUCGAAGUCUUGGCGUAUAAGACAAGAUUUUAGAGGAAGAAGAGUCUCUAUAAGAGCCGCUCCUCAUGGAAAAGAAUACACCCACGCAGGAUUCAGAACUCCGCUGCUGCUUUCCCCUUAAUAUUCAUGCAGAAUAUAUGGACACAUACUUAUUUUACACUCGCUGUGGCACCCACUUUGCUUGAAAAACAAGAAGGAUUUUGGAAUCCGCUGUCUAAAACUAAACACACAUGUACACAAUUAAUGAUGCUCCAUCAACAACGAAUAACUGAUGCCAAUGCAAUCAGACAAUAUCCAAAAUACAUUCCAAGUCUUGGCGUACAAUUUGUAGGAAUUUGCGUGUGAUCUUGGGCGAUCUGGAAUGUGUUGUUCUAAGCUUUAUGUGUGUAAAAUGUAAUGUAGCAAUACUAUAUGUAAGCUAUGCAGCCACUACCAAUAAGUCCAUGAGAGUACCAAUGAUGGUGUUUAUAUCGAACGAAAGAGAGGCCAAUAUUAUCUGACAAGACCUAAGAAAAUAUUCCAGGCAGCUGUUAAACCCAACGACAUGGAAACUUUUCCGUACAGUUAUAUCUAUGUACAUAUGUAUAUAUGUAUGUAUCUCUGUAUGUUUACAUUUUUUGCGCGUUAUUAUGCUUGCCAUAACGAAUCUCUGUGG
Molecule: long non-coding RNA, 1004 nt
Organism: Drosophila obscura
Lineage: Eukaryota; Metazoa; Arthropoda; Insecta; Diptera; Drosophilidae
Exons: 4
Source: RefSeq, a predicted model, not a curated record